AAAUUUACAUCCAAAACACUCACUUCAAACUCUCCUCUCCUCUCCCCCUCUUCUCUCAAAUAAAAACCCUAAACACACUCUCCAUCUCCUCUUAAAUCCCCAAAUCUCGCACCCCAAAUCUUGUUUUUAUCCCCUUGAUUCGUCCUUUCAGGUGGAUUUCUCGGGUUUCAAUGGUAUGAGAUUCAAGCCUCAGUCUCAGAUUUCCAAGGAUCUGUAGAUAUAAGUUAUUAUAUCUUUAUAUAUUUAGCCAC
RNAcentral lists this unclassified non-coding RNA (251 nucleotides) under Hevea brasiliensis (rubber tree). Lineage: Eukaryota; Viridiplantae; Streptophyta; Magnoliopsida; Malpighiales; Euphorbiaceae. The record is from RNAcentral.